This is a long non-coding RNA of Condylostylus longicornis, 356 nucleotides long. RefSeq lists it as uncharacterized. The transcript is spliced from 3 exons. The record is from RefSeq and is a predicted model, not a curated record. NCBI's taxonomy places the organism in Eukaryota, Metazoa, Arthropoda, Insecta, Diptera, Dolichopodidae.
UUUUAGCUUUUUAAAAAUAUUUUAGUUCGAUUUAAUUAAACGCGAUGGUACGGUCGAAUUGAAAAACCAAAAAAAAAAAAAAUCGGAAAAUAAAAUGAAAAGAAAAAAAUUAUUUAAAAUACUUAAAACGUAUUAAGUGUUCGGUAGCCCUUUCCAUUACGUAAAAUUUUCAGUAUUUAAAAAGUUUUCCAUCGAAAUUUUUCCAAAGAAAUUUUAAAGAAUACGUCCCUGUCCCAUUAGUUGAGAAAAAGCCUUGGCAUCCAGUAAUGUGGCCAGAGCCAUUACCAAAAGAUGGUGAAGAAGUUGAAGAGGAACCUCCUCAUCAUAGAAUUAUUCGAAAUAUUCGGAGAUUCUUC